CGCGGGGUAGAGCAGUUGGUAGCUCGUCGGGCUCAUAACCCGAAGGUCGUGCGGUUCGAUUCCCACCCCCGCUACAA
RNAcentral lists this transfer RNA (77 nucleotides) under Bacteroidales bacterium. RNAcentral describes it as "tRNA-Met". It matches the Rfam family "tRNA". From Rfam's summary of the family: Transfer RNA (tRNA) molecules are approximately 80 nucleotides in length. Their secondary structure includes four short double-helical elements and three loops (D, anti-codon, and T loops). The record is from RNAcentral. Lineage: Bacteria; Pseudomonadati; Bacteroidota; Bacteroidia; Bacteroidales.